RNAcentral lists this ribosomal RNA (371 nucleotides) under uncultured organism. RNAcentral describes it as "partial 16S ribosomal RNA". It matches the Rfam family "Bacterial small subunit ribosomal RNA", at positions 527 to 896 of the family's 1533-position model. The record is from RNAcentral.
AGAGGGUGCAAGCGUUAAUCAGAUUUACUGGGCGUAAAGCGCGCGUAGGUGGGUAUUUAAGUCGGAUGUGAAAGCCCCAGGCUCAACCUGGGAACUGCACUCGAUACUGGAUGCCUAGAGUAUAGUAGAGGGAAGUGGAAUUUCCGGUGUAGCGGUGAAAUGCGUAGAUAUCGGAAAGAACACCAGUGGCGAAGGCGGCUUCCUGGACUAAUACUGACACUGAGGUGCGAAAGCGUGGGGAGCAAACAGGAUUAGAGACCCUGGUAGUCCACGCUGUCAACGAUGAGAACUAGGCGUUGGGAGGAUUUACCCUCUUGGUGCCGAAGCUAACGCGUUAAGUUCUCCGCCUGGGGAGUACGGCCGCAAGGCUA